Molecule: ribosomal RNA, 256 nt
Filed under: uncultured bacterium
Lineage: Bacteria
Description: partial 16S ribosomal RNA
Rfam family: Bacterial small subunit ribosomal RNA
Source: RNAcentral
UACAGGGGGUGCAAACGUUGCUCGGAAUCAUUGGGCGUAAAGCGCACGUAGGCGGUUCGUUAUGUCGGAUGUGAAAGCCCUUGGCUUAACCGAGGAAGUGCAUCCGAAACUGGCGAGCUAGAGUACGAAAGAGGAUCGCGGAAUUCCCGGUGUAGAGGUGAAAUUCGUAGAUAUCGGGAGGAACACCAGAGGUGAAGACGGGUUGCUGGGCCGACACUGACGCUGACAGCGCGAAAGCCAGGGGAGGCAAACGGGG